CUCAACCUCACAUUCCCCUCAUUUUGCAAUACCAUUCUCUCUCUCUCCUCUUAAAAUCUAUUUUCGUCUCUAUUCACUUUUCUCUCUCUAAUAGACUUUCUCUGCGCAAACAAAACAUCAUUGCUCCCUCCAUCGUGAGCUCUGGAAAGGAUGGCCAAAAUCACCAUCCAAACAUACCAGUAUGACCGACUAUCUCUCCUCAACACAAAUCCACUUUCUAAAUCCCCAAAUUUGAAACCAAAUUCAUUUAUUAUACAAAUCAAAGCAUGAACCCUAAUUUUGAAAAGUUAAAUUAAAUGGUCGUUACAUAUGAUUUCAAGCAGAUAAUAAAGGGUUAUUAUUCAGUAUAACAAGGGUAACAACAUGGUAUGUAAAAAUGCAAAAAUAUGAAUGAAUACCACCCUGACCGGAGCAAGUCCAACAACCUACGAAGACGUUUCCAGGUGUAUCCUUCUUCCUUAACUUAUAUGCAUUUUCUAUCCUUUUCCACUCCUCUGUUUUUCUUUUACCUCUUGAUUUGCUAGGUUGCUGGUUGAUGAGAGGAUGAUGUUGAGUAAGUUAGGUUAAGCUAAACUCUGUUAAACUUCAUGGAUAAGUUUAGAGAGUUUUUUUUAGUGAGCUCUAGGUGGAUUUGGUGUUAAGGGUUAUUAAAUAGUGGAGAGGUGGUGAAAAUAGAAGGGAACGGUGAGGUUGUAAGGAGGAUUUUUUCUAGGGAUAUUAGAGAUGCAAUAUUGGUAAUCCAUGUGCUUAAGUUUGAUGAAAGAUUGAGAUGAGUUUGGGAGUAAUUUGUUUCAUUUCAUUUGUGUUUGGUUUAGUUGAAAUUGUAGUGAAAUAAAGAUGAAAUUCACAUUGCAAUUUGAGUGUGAGUCUUGUGAUUUUGGUGUAAUUCUUGUGGUCCCCAAAUUUCUAUGAUGUAUGUAUGUAUCAUGACUGUAUGGCUUGCUGAGUUCUUUUGUUUGACAUUUCCAUGUAUGCAUAUGUUGGUAUGAUGAUGUAUAUGUUGUUGAUGUACACUUGAUUUCCUUGGUAGAUUGGUGCUUCUUUCAUUCUGUAGGUUUGACUAUUGUUGAUGAUGCACAUAGUGGAUGUUCAUGAUGAUGAUGAGGGCGCGAGAAAGGAGAGUGUGGUCUAUCAAACUUGGAUCCUUAAUUUAUUUAAUUUCUUCUUUUUUAUAAUAUUUUAUAUUUUAGAAAAAUAAGAUGUAAAAAUAAUGAAAAGUAUUUAAUAAAAUUCUUCCUUUGUGAGUUUAUGUAAAUAAAAUAAUUUCCUCUUAAUUCUUAGUUUUGUUCUUUGUAAUACUAUUUUGGAAAAGUGUAAGAAUAUACUACUAUUAGGUGUAGUUAAAAGGUGAUUUAAGAUACAGGUGUACUAACAUGCCAUCUUAAAAACAAAUGAAAGAUAAAAGUGUGAGUCCAACUUCUUUUAGAUGUGUUUUGUAUGAUGUCAAAACUAUGAUACUUUAGCGUAAAUGUAUAUUGGAAGGUAUUAUCUGAAUCU
Molecule: long non-coding RNA, 1497 nt
Filed under: Lathyrus oleraceus (garden pea)
Lineage: Eukaryota; Viridiplantae; Streptophyta; Magnoliopsida; Fabales; Fabaceae
Description: Pisum sativum (pea) long non-coding RNA (PSAT_LNC036218)
Source: RNAcentral